Limulus polyphemus (Atlantic horseshoe crab) is the source of this 482-nucleotide long non-coding RNA. RefSeq lists it as uncharacterized. The transcript has 2 exons. NCBI's taxonomy places the organism in Eukaryota, Metazoa, Arthropoda, Merostomata, Xiphosura, Limulidae. The record is from RefSeq and is a predicted model, not a curated record.
CGAUUGAUUAAUACGCCCUUGUUAAUAGAUGUUGUUAAUAUAACCAAGAAGCGAAACACGACGGUAGGCGGGAUGCUGGAAAUCCAGUUAGUGGUAUUUUGGUCGUCGUAAACACUGAUGCUCUUUAAAUGAAUCGAAUACGACGUGAUACUUGGCCAUGACAGAGUGAAAACUCUCUCCCGUGCUGGGCGUAUUUCUUAAAUGGGAUGACACAAUCGAUGGAAGCAGGAGAUGUUUGGGGCAACUAGGAAAUACGACUCUUCUGUUCUACAUAUUAAGAAACCUACACUGAAUCUAUGGCAAACAACUAACUGCCAAGUUCUGUGUUUAAUCACUCUGUGGUAGUGGAGCAUUAGUAGGUGAGGGAGUGGCUUGACGAGAAUCAUCACUUUGUUUCUGACGCAUUUGCUCCUGCAUCUUUGUCAACAUCUCCUGCAUGCGCCGGAGUUCUGCUUCCUUCUCUCGGAUGAUACGUUCUCUUU